AGGGGGAGCACAGGAUCCUGGGCUGUGUCCCCAGCGCCCUGGGAUCCAGGGCCUGCGCUGGGAUCGCGCUCCCAGGGCCGCGCAGCCCCCU
This 91-nucleotide microRNA precursor is filed under the name Canis lupus familiaris (dog). RNAcentral describes it as "mir-8799 microRNA precursor family". It matches the Rfam family "mir-8799 microRNA precursor family". The record is from Rfam by way of RNAcentral. Lineage: Eukaryota; Metazoa; Chordata; Mammalia; Carnivora; Canidae.